RNAcentral lists this transfer RNA (70 nucleotides) under Archidasyphyllum excelsum. RNAcentral's name for it is "tRNA-Ala". It matches the Rfam family "tRNA". From Rfam's summary of the family: Transfer RNA (tRNA) molecules are approximately 80 nucleotides in length. Their secondary structure includes four short double-helical elements and three loops (D, anti-codon, and T loops). Lineage: Eukaryota; Viridiplantae; Streptophyta; Magnoliopsida; Asterales; Asteraceae. The record is from RNAcentral.
GGGGAUAUAGCUCAGUUGGUAGAGCUCCGCUCUUGCGCGGAUGUCAGCGGUUCGAGUCCGCUUAUCUCCA